GAGGAAAGUCCGGACUCCUUAUAGAAAAAGAUUGUUGGAUAAAUUUCAAUAUAAGUAAUUAUGAGGAUAGUGCCACAGAAAAAUACCGCCUUAAUAUACUGAUAUGGGUAAGGGUGCAAAGGUGUAUUAAGAGUGCACCAGUAGUAUUGUUGAAAUACUUGCUUGGUAAACCCCAUCUAGGAGAAAAGAGGUAUGGAUGAUUAUCUAUAAAUCAAUUCAUGAUUGUUUACUUGUAACUGAAUACCGCAUAAAGUAACAAGUAUUUAUAUGUUACUUUAGAUUAAUAACUACCCUUUCUCCAGCUUAUGGCGGAAGAACAGAAUCCGGCUUAU
Molecule: RNase P RNA, 332 nt
Filed under: Liagora brachyclada
Lineage: Eukaryota; Rhodophyta; Florideophyceae; Nemaliales; Liagoraceae
Description: Ribonuclease P RNA
Rfam family: Bacterial RNase P class A
About the family: Ribonuclease P (RNase P) is a ubiquitous endoribonuclease, found in archaea, bacteria and eukarya as well as chloroplasts and mitochondria.
Source: RNAcentral